This 819-nucleotide ribosomal RNA is filed under the name uncultured bacterium. Its description in RNAcentral is "bacterial SSU rRNA". It matches the Rfam family "Bacterial small subunit ribosomal RNA", at positions 8 to 872 of the family's 1533-position model. The record is from RNAcentral.
AGAGUUUGAUCCUGGCUCAGAACGAACGCUGGCGGCAGGCCUAACACAUGCAAGUCGAACGCUCGUAGCAAUACGGGAGUGGCAGACGGGUGAGGAACACGUGGGAACAUACCCUUUGGUUCGGAAUAACUCAGGGAAACUUGAGCUAAUACCGGAUAAGCCCUUACGGGGAAAGAUUUAUCGCCGAAGGAUUGGCCCGCGUCCGAUUAGCUAGUUGGUGAGGUAACGGCUCACCAAGGCGACGAUCGGUAGCUGGUCUGAGAGGAUGAUCAGCCACAUUGGGACUGAGACACGGCCCAAACUCCUACGGGAGGCAGCAGUGGGGAAUAUUGGACAAUGGGCGCAAGCCUGAUCCAGCCAUGCCGCGUGAGUGAUGACGGCCUUAGGGUUGUAAAGCUCUUUCACCCACGACGAUAAUGACGGUAGUGGGAGAAGAAGCCCCGGCUAACUUCGUGCCAGCAGCCGCGGUAAUACGAAGGGGGCUAGCGUUGUUCGGAUUUACUGGGCGUAAAGCGCACGUAGGCGGAUCUUUAAGUCAGGGGUGAAAUGCCGGAGCUCAACUUCGGAACUGCCUUUGAUACUGGAGAUCUUGAGUUCGAGAGAGGUGAGUGGAACUGCGAGUGUAGAGGUGAAAUUCGUAGAUAUUCGCAAGAACACCAGUGGCGAAGGCGGCUCACUGGCUCGAUACUGACGCUGAGGUGCGAAAGCGUGGGGAGCAAACAGGAUUAGAUACCCUGGUAGUCCACGCCGUAAACGAUGGAUGCUAGCCGUUAGGCAGCUUGCUGCUUAGUGGCGCAGCUAACGCUUUAAGCAUCCCGC